Molecule: non-coding RNA, 384 nt
Organism: Cucurbita pepo subsp. pepo (vegetable marrow)
Lineage: Eukaryota; Viridiplantae; Streptophyta; Magnoliopsida; Cucurbitales; Cucurbitaceae
Source: RefSeq, a predicted model, not a curated record
CUUCUCACUCUAUUUAUAGGCUUCAAAACUCACCAUCUUCCUUCUCUAUUUUUUCAUAAAGGUACUUCGAGCACUGGAUCUGAUGCCUUCUUCAAACCACCUCUCGGAGGAAGAGGAGGAAGAGAUAGAUUCGGACGAUGAAUUUUAUCAAGACGGUUACCAUACUAUCACUAAGAAAGAAGGGAGGGAGUAUUUUCGUGCAGUUGAAGAAUCGUUGAAGAAUCGGAGGGUUUUGAUGUACCAGAUUUUGACAAAGUCCUUUCAUGUAGUCUCAUCAUUCCAAUAGAUAUGCAUGAGAACUCGUGGAUGCUUAAAGAGGUUCGAAUCUCAGCAAAUAAAGCUAUCGAACAUUACAACAAGGAAAAUGGAACUAAUUUUGAAGUU